GGCAGGCCCUGGGCUGGAAGUCAGGGAUAACUGGCCAGGACCGCAGUUGGGGGUGAAGUUCCCAGACCUGGCUGCCUCCUGAGUAGGCCCUGCCAGAACGGCUCCCUCCCGAUGUGAGGUUCUGCAUGUCCUCUUCUGAUUUAUCCAGCUCUCUGACCUCGAGGAGCCACCAAACUGCAGACUGGGUCCCCAGGGCCAGUCUCUGGCAGGAAAAGUGGCUGGUGAUGCCCAGAGUCCCCACAGCCCCCCCAAGGCCCCCAGAUGUGAAGAUGUGCUUGGCCCGGGAGCCCCGUCCCACUGGAGGCAGUCUGUGGCAUGGCCCCCACCUCACUCUUUGCUCCACAAUGCAGGCUAGAAGCACUCUGGGGCCUGAAGGGGCCGCCCUAGAAGCCCACCCCACCCCACACUCCUCUCCCGUCUCCCCAGCUGCCUCAAGGGCUACGUCAACCACAGCCUGUCCGUCUUCCACACCAAGGACUUCCAGGACCCUGAUGGGAUUGAGGGCUCAGAAAACGUGACUCUGUGCAGGUUUGGAACUCCCCAUCCCCCAAGAAUGCCCUCUGAACUCCUGACCCCUGACCUCAGGUACUUCCUUACCCCAGAUACAGGGACUACCGCAAUCCCCCCGAUUACAACUUCUCCGAGAAGUUCUGGUUCCUCCUGGCCAUCCGCCUGGCCUUCGUCAUCCUCUUUGAGCACGUGGCCUUGUGCAUCAAGCUCAUUGCCGCCUGGUUCGUGCCCGACA
This 745-nucleotide small RNA is filed under the name Pan troglodytes (chimpanzee). RNAcentral describes it as "retained intron". Lineage: Eukaryota; Metazoa; Chordata; Mammalia; Primates; Hominidae. The record is from RNAcentral.